Molecule: ribosomal RNA, 163 nt
Filed under: Hordeum vulgare subsp. spontaneum
Lineage: Eukaryota; Viridiplantae; Streptophyta; Magnoliopsida; Poales; Poaceae
Description: 5.8S ribosomal RNA
Rfam family: 5.8S ribosomal RNA
About the family: 5.8S ribosomal RNA (5.8S rRNA) is a component of the large subunit of the eukaryotic ribosome. It is transcribed by RNA polymerase I as part of the 45S precursor that also contains 18S and 28S rRNA.
Source: RNAcentral
ACACGACUCUCGGGAACGGAUAUCUCGGCUCUCGCAUCGAUGAAGAACGUAGCGAAAUGCGAUACCUGGUGUGAAUUGCAGAAUCCCGCGAACCAUCGAGUCUUUGAACGCAAGUUGCGCCCGAGGCCACUCGGCCGAGGGCACGCCUGCCUGGGCGUCACGC